RNAcentral lists this ribosomal RNA (135 nucleotides) under tylosin-resistant soil bacterium cfr3. RNAcentral describes it as "partial 16S ribosomal RNA". It matches the Rfam family "Bacterial small subunit ribosomal RNA", at positions 355 to 507 of the family's 1533-position model. Lineage: Bacteria; Pseudomonadati; Pseudomonadota; Alphaproteobacteria; Hyphomicrobiales; Rhizobiaceae. The record is from RNAcentral.
UGGGGAAUAUUGGACAAUGGGCGCAAGCCUGAUCCAGCCAUGCCGCGUGAGUGAUGAAGGUCUUAGGAUUGUAAAGCUCUUUCACCGGUGAAGAUAAUGACGGUAACCGGAGAAGAAGCCCCGGCUAACUUCGUG